AGAGGUAGAGCAUGGUCGUCCACCAAUCACGUGUCCAAUCACAUGUCGAAGUACCCUUGAGCAAGACACAUAACUCCAAGUAGCUCCCCAAGGCUGUGCCAUCGGUGUCCGAAUGAGUAUUUAGAUUAGAUCCUUGCAGCAUGGCAGCCUCUGCCAUCAGUGUAUGAAUAUGUGUGUGAAUGGGUGAAUGCUGACAUGUAGUGUAAAGCGCUUUGAGUGGUCGGAAGACUAGAAAAGCGCUAUAUAAAUGUAAGUCCAUUUACCAGUUCACUUACAGACUUC
Molecule: long non-coding RNA, 282 nt
Organism: Sebastes umbrosus (honeycomb rockfish)
Lineage: Eukaryota; Metazoa; Chordata; Actinopteri; Perciformes; Sebastidae
Exons: 3
Source: RefSeq, a predicted model, not a curated record